UUUGAUGAGAUGCAUGUCGUCUCAAAGCCGAGCGGGUUACAUUAUGAUACACACAUACACGCACAUACACGCAAAUAUAUCCCUGCAUUUGAUUUUUCAAUCCAACAGUCAACCGGGGUCGAGGAAAGCCGCCCCAUCGAAAAGUGUUCCAGUGGGCCACCGGCUGAUCUUCCAGGCACAGCUGGUCACCAAUGAGCAUGCAAAUCAAGUCCAAACCUUCAACUUUCAACAAAGUCCCAAAGGGCGUACGCAGCCCCGGUGGGUGGCUUGUGACCGUUGAGCGGCAGUUCUGGCCGCGCCUCUGCAUCGGCCGUCAGGUACCACAUGUGGUCGGGGAGGUCCAGCUCCAGCAGCUUCUGUUUGACAAGUAGACUCUUCUCGAUGUUCCUCCGCUUGAACUUGAACUCGAUGAUGGUCUUGGUGUAGCGGUUGAGCGCCGUCACUGCCGAGCCCAUGCAGGUGCCGAACGACCCCCACGCUAGGCUGAAGCGAGGACAAGGUAGAGAUUAGCAUUACUGAAACUAGCUCUUACAGCGAACCUUUUGGGUUACCUAUAGAUGACGGCAAAGCACUUACAUUAGAUGUUAUCAAUUAUAUUAAAUGUAGCAGAUGCGAACGGUAGCUUGGCAUAAAGAUGAUCGAAAGCUAAACAAAAGGACUUGAGUUUUCUCACACAUAAGACCAACUGUAGUCCCAGGUCUUGGGCCUCCAGUCUUCCGGACCCAUGGCCACAGCCAGUUGGAAAAUGGUGGUGAACAUCAUGUGGGCCACCAUCCCACAAAGGCCUGAAACCAGACAAGAAGUGACGACAACAUAAGAUACUUUCGGGGUUAUGAGUAUCCAUGGCAAUACUGAUUGUUGACAUUGAGUGGAAAUCAGUCACUAAUCCUAACCCUGCCCCCCGCCCAAAGAAAACUGGGAUCGACUCCCUAAUGAGGAUAAACGGUAUAGAAAAUAGAUGGCUUGUUGGCUGUACCUCAAAUAUGGCGAUUACAUACGAUUUAUUUA
Hippocampus comes (tiger tail seahorse) is the source of this 1008-nucleotide long non-coding RNA. RefSeq lists it as uncharacterized. The record is from RefSeq and is a predicted model, not a curated record. Lineage: Eukaryota; Metazoa; Chordata; Actinopteri; Syngnathiformes; Syngnathidae. The transcript has 2 exons.